This 549-nucleotide ribosomal RNA is filed under the name uncultured bacterium. RNAcentral's name for it is "bacterial SSU rRNA". It matches the Rfam family "Archaeal small subunit ribosomal RNA", at positions 728 to 1276 of the family's 1478-position model. The record is from RNAcentral.
AAUAGAUACCCUGGUAGUCCUAGCCGUAAACGAUACUCGCUAGGUGUCGGCCACGGUGCGACCGUUGUCGGUGCCGUAGGGAAGCCGUGAAGCGAGCCACCUGGGAAGUACGGCCGCAAGGCUGAAACUUAAAGGAAUUGGCGGGGGAGCACCACAACGGGUGGAGCUUGCGGUUUAAUUGGAUUCAACGCCGGAAAUCUUACCGGGACCGACAGCAAUAUGAAGGCCAGGCUGAAGACUUUGCCGGAUUAGCUGAGAGGUGGUGCAUGGCCGUCGUCAGUUCGUACUGUGAAGCAUCCUGUUAAGUCAGGCAACGAGCGAGACCCACGCCCACAGUUGCCAGCGUACUCUCUGGAGUGACGGGUACACUGUGGGGACCGCCGCUGCUAAAGCGGAGGAAGGAAUGGGCAACGGUAGGUCAGUAUGCCCCGAAUAUCCCGGGCUACACGCGAGCUACAAUGGUUGGUACAAUGGGUAUCUACCCCGGAAAGGGGACGGGAAUCUCCUAAAACCAUCUUAGUUCGGAUUGAGGGCUGCAACUCGCCCUCA